CUGGCGGCGUGCUUAACACAUGCAAGUCGAGCGAUGAAGUUUCCUUCGGGAAACGGAUUAGCGGCGGACGGGUGAGUAACACGUGGGUAACCUGCCUCAUAGAGUGGAAUAGCCUUCCGAAAGGAAGAUUAAUACCGCAUAAUGUUGAAAGAUGGCAUCAUUAUUCAACCAAAGGAGCAAUCCGCUAUGAGAUGGACCCGCGGCGCAUUAGCUAGUUGGUGGGGUAACGGCCUACCAAGGCGACGAUGCGUAGCCGACCUGAGAGGGUGAUCGGCCACAUUGGGACUGAGACACGGCCCAGACUCCUACGGGAGGCAGCAGUGGGGAAUAUUGCACAAUGGGGGAAACCCUGAUGCAGCAACGCCGCGUGAGUGAUGAAGGUUUUCGGAUCGUAAAGCUCUGUCUUUGGGGAAGAUAAUGACGGUACCCAAGGAGGAAGCCACGGCUAACUACGUGCCAGCAGCCGCGGUAAUACGUAGGUGGCGAGCGUUAUCCGGAUCUACUGGGCGUAAAGGGAGCGUAGGCGGAUGAUUAAGUGGGAUGUGAAAUACCCGGGCUCAACUUGGGUGCUGCAUUCCAAACUGGUUAUCUAGAGUGCAGGAGAGGAGAGUGGAAUUCCUAGUGUAGCGGUGAAAUGCGUAGA
This 643-nucleotide ribosomal RNA is filed under the name uncultured bacterium. RNAcentral's name for it is "bacterial SSU rRNA". It matches the Rfam family "Bacterial small subunit ribosomal RNA", at positions 36 to 694 of the family's 1533-position model. The record is from RNAcentral.